GGGGAUUUUUGGACAAUGGGCGCAAGCCUGAUCCAGCCAUUCCGCGUGAGUGAAGAAGGCCUUCGGGUUGUAAAGCUCUUUCGGCAGGAAGGAAACGGCGGGCUCUAACAUAGCCUGUUACUGACGGUACCUGCAGAAGAAGCACCGGCUAACUACGUGCCAGCAGCCGCGGUAAUACGUAGGGUGCGAGCGUUAUUCGGAAUUACUGGGCGUAAAGCGUGCGCAGGCGGAUUGUUAAGCAAGACGUGAAAUCCCCGGGCUUAACCUGGGAAUGGCGUUUUGAACUGGCAGUCUAGAGUGCGUCAGAGGGGGGUGGAAUUCCACGUGUAGCAGUGAAAUGCGUAGAGAUGUGGAGGAACACCGAUGGCGAAGGCAGCCCCCUGGGAUGACACUGACGCUCAUGUACGAAAGCGUGGGUAGCAAACAGGAUUAGAUACCCUGGUAGUCCACGCCCUAAACGAUGUCAACUGGUUGUUGGGGGAGUGAAAUCCCUUAGUAACGA
This 502-nucleotide ribosomal RNA is filed under the name uncultured bacterium. RNAcentral describes it as "bacterial SSU rRNA". It matches the Rfam family "Bacterial small subunit ribosomal RNA", at positions 356 to 849 of the family's 1533-position model. The record is from RNAcentral.